GCUUGAUGCGGUGGCGCGUGCCUGUAGUUCCAGCUACUCGGGAGGCUGAGGUGGGAGGAUCGCUUGAGGCCAGGAGUUCUGGGCUGUAGUGCGCUAUGCCGAUCGGGUGUCCGCACUAAGUUCGGCAUCAAUACGGUGACCUCCCAGGAGUGGGGGACCACCCGGUUGCCUAAGGAGGGGUGAACCAGCCCAGGUCGGAAAUGGAGCAGGUCAAAACUCCCAUGCUCAUCAGUAGUGGGAUCGCACCUGUGAAUAGCCAUUGCAUUCCAGCCUGGGCAACAUAGGGAGACCCGGUCUCU
RNAcentral lists this signal recognition particle RNA (299 nucleotides) under Cebus imitator (Panamanian white-faced capuchin). Its description in RNAcentral is "Metazoan signal recognition particle RNA (ENSCCAG00000002141.1)". It matches the Rfam family "Metazoan signal recognition particle RNA". From Rfam's summary of the family: The signal recognition particle (SRP) is a universally conserved ribonucleoprotein. The record is from RNAcentral. Lineage: Eukaryota; Metazoa; Chordata; Mammalia; Primates; Cebidae.